GCUGAGUUUAUAAAAAACCUUUCUCAAUCUGAAAGGUUCUUUGUAGAUCCUGUAGAAGAACCAUACAGGUUUUUAUUCUGGUCAGUCAUAUUAUAUUAUAUAUAUUCUAAUGAGCCACCUCGCCUACAUUUAAUUAUCACUAAAAGAGCAAAGAACCCUUUUGUGAACUUUAAAGAACCAUUGAAGAACAGAACUCAAAGGGUUAUUUGAGUAAUUAUGGCUCCACAUAGAACCAUCACCCUUCCUUAAGAUCCCUUGGGGAACCCUCAUAUUUUAGUGUUUAUGCAUCUCUAUGGGUGAGACCACCAUGAAUAGAAAUGUCUGAAAAACAAAGUGUCUGUCUGGCUGGCUGUUGUCUGUCUUGCUGGCUGUCUGUCUGUGUGGCCAUUGUAUGGCUGGCUGUUGUCUGUCUGUUGCUGGCUGGCUGUCCCUUUCUAAUACUGUUGCAGAUUCUUACCAUGUUUGAGGAGAACUAUCCUGAAGGACUCAAGAGGGUGUUUCUCAUCAAGACUCCUAAGCUAUUCCCGAUGGCCUACAACCUGGUCAAACACUUCCUGAGUGAAGAGACACGUCACAAGAUCAUCAUUCUGGGAUCUAACUGGCAGGAGGUGUUACUUAAGCACAUUGACCGGA
Molecule: long non-coding RNA, 633 nt
Organism: Oncorhynchus gorbuscha (pink salmon)
Lineage: Eukaryota; Metazoa; Chordata; Actinopteri; Salmoniformes; Salmonidae
Exons: 3
Source: RefSeq, a predicted model, not a curated record